Molecule: long non-coding RNA, 3704 nt
Organism: Esox lucius (northern pike)
Lineage: Eukaryota; Metazoa; Chordata; Actinopteri; Esociformes; Esocidae
Source: Ensembl
CCGAAACAGGAAGGCGGUGAAGUUCAGGUGAGCUCUGGUCAGAGCUCGGCAUGGCUCAGAACACACAUGAUGGUGCUUCGGAUAGUCAGGCUGAUGAAAUUAUGCAGUCAGCCAGGCGCUUACUGCAUUUAAUCAGUUCGUCUGAAAGACAACGGUGUGCAGCCAGUGGUGGAGUAACAAAUCAAGUUCUGAGAGAACAGAGGCAUACAGAGAGACCAUCACUUCAAAUGGAAAUGACCAGGUCCUUUCCAGGUGUUUUUAUCAAGGGCAGAGGGAAGAGGUGCUUUCCUGCAGCAAAUCUUGUUCCUGCCAAGAGUUAUGUGAUGCCCUCAAAGUUUUAUUUCCAAAAUUGGGGGCCGUGACUGGUGGGUGGCUGCUAUACAAAUCUGCAGGUGGAUGGGGUAGCCGAAAACUCUCUCUUGUGGCUCCUGAUGAGACUGGCUAUACAGGCAUGGUAUUGAAGUCUGUAAGUCGUGGGGGUAAAAAUCUAUUCAUAGCCCCAAUUCAAGAGGAACUCAGCACAAAUCCCCUACCACUAACUGAUGAAGCAUUCAGUAGCAUGCCAAAAGCCACAUGUCAGAAGUGUGGAGUUGCAGUUCCUCUUCCACUCCUGACAGAACACCUCAAGUCUUGUGAUGUCAUGUAUGUUGGCAGUGAUGAUAACCUGGCUAAUGUGGAAAGCAGUGAGCCUGAAGACAGAAAAUUUAAGAAUUCUUAAUUUUAAGCUUUUGUGAGCAUAUUGUAUAUUAUUAAACAGCAGAAAAACUAUUUUGAAAUUAACACUGUUCUUGGUUGUAACUUCAACAGCACAUAUGCAGGAAUGUCCUGUCUGCACAAAAAUGUUUCCUACUGACUUUAUUGAGGUACACGCUUCUUCAUGUGUGGAAAGGUAUCCAUUUACUUUGUAUUGUUAAUGUUUUUUCUCUUGUCAGGAAUUCCUACACUAUCAGUUAAACACAGAAAUAUUUGUAUUUGGGUAGGGCAGGAAAAGAGGUGAUGCAUGAAAGCAUUGUAAUUGAGGAAGAGCAAGCAGCAAUGCCUGGACCAUCCGGAACUUGUGCAACUGCUACAGAUGGCUGGUUAACUAUCAGUGACCCCACCAAGGCCAUAUCUCAGUGUGCUGACAGUUUUCUCCGUAUUCAUGAAACGAAGAGCCCCUUACUUCUCAGCAUGGACAUCAGAAAAAGUCCUGCUGAACAGGACAUGGCCUUAAUCUCCUUCUACAAGCGAACUAAUGUGGAAUGGGGACGGCCUCUGAAUUGCAAACUUGAAGGAGAUUGUGCUAUUGGACAGGGUGUAACUCGCUUCUUUUUCUCAAAAUGCAUGGAAAAACUGAAGUCAGGGUUUUGCAUCAAUUUUGCAAACUCAAAUGUUACACGGCUUUUUGAAGGAGAGCCUGGUCAUUUAGUCCCCUCAGCCUCUCACUUUCUUGUGGAAAGUGAUAUGUUCAUGGUAGCGGGGAGAAUGGUAGGCCACUCCUUUCUUCAUGGAGGACCAUGCCUGUUGGGGCUCAGCCCUGCUGUUGUUCAUGUCCUGCUUGGUGGGAGUCCUGAAACUGCAACUGUUACACUACAGGACUGUCCAGACCUGGACAUCAGAGAAACAAUCGAUCUUCUUGAUGGGGGAUCCAUACUGUCAGAUAAGGAUAAACAGCGUGUCCAGGACCUGGCCCAUGCCUGGGACCUCCCUUGCCUAACUGAGAAAAACAGGAGAUGGCUUUUUGAGAAGCUAUUGAUCCAUGCUGUAAUCGGACGUGUCACAAGGCAAAUUAAGCAGCUGAGACGAGGUCUUAAAGAAACCCCAAUGUGGACACUGGUGACCCAAAGACCUGACACAGUGGCCUUGCUUUUUCCGAAAGAGGGAGCAGGAAAUUUCAGCCCUGAGGUACUACUUCAGCGACUCACAUGGCCUCAUGAGGAUAGUGACGAUGACGACGAUUGUUCAGUUGACACCAAAUGCCGCAUAUCAGGCUAUCUUCGACAGUUCAUUGCUAAUGCAACACCAACUGAACUGACCGAACUGGUCAAAUUCUGGACCGGAUGGGAGAUUAUACCACCGAGUCUCUCUGUAGAAGUGGUCGAGGGCAGAUACCCCACAGCCUCCACUUGCUUUGAGACCUUGCGCAUCCCAGGGCAUUACAAGGAUUACACAUCUUUUAAAUGUGACAUCCUGGCCUGUAUUGACAGUUGCCAUACAGGAUUUGGUCUUGUGUGAGUGACAUUUGGCUUGUAUUUACCCUUGUAAGACAAUAUUUGAUGUUAAAAUGUUUGUUUUUAAGCUUGUUAGUUCUGUUAAAAGACCUGUUGUAAACUCUCACACUCAAAGAAAACAAUCAGGAAGUUGUUAAUGUAUACUGAAUAUAUUUUCACACUGUUACUGAGAGUACUUUGCAGUAACCUUUGGCAAUAAAAGGUCAGUUCAUUGAGGUAAACUUUUGACUCUGAACUCCUGUGAAGCCCUCGUAUAACCACUGAAAUGCUAUAUUUUCCCCCCCCAAUUUCCAUCUCAGGUUUGGGAAUAAACCUCAAUGUUCAAAAUAAUGCAUUGCUUUUUCCUGGUUCAUGAUGCUUUCACACGGUGUAAGGGGGACGGACAGCGAAAGAGAAGUGCAAUAAAAAUGAGCAGCCAUUUAUUUUUCUUUGACAAUUUAGUACACUAUAAACUUCAGACUUAAAACCUGUUUGAGUUAAGUAAUCAAUCAUAAAAUGGCUAGACUGUUAAGCAGUUGAUAUACCUUUUCAUUCAUGUUAUUUUAAUAGGUUUACGUAACUUGUCAUAAAUGGAAUUAUUUUGUGAUUUAGGCAUAGGUCUUUUUGAAACAGACCACCCUACUUAAACCAGUGAGAAGAAAAAUGUGAUAACCAAAAUUGUGUUCAUGUAGAAUAAAAUGUCUUUAUAGAAGUUAUAAUUGUUGACCAAUGCAUUAAUACACAAUGUCCUUACAACUGCAUCCGUAAUAAAUUGUUUAUAUGCUGAUUAUACGAGAAAUAGGGGGCCCUUAAGUGUUACUGAGAAAAUAGUAAUAAUUAGGGUCAGCUUUCCCAGUAAAAUUUGGUAUAUAUCUUAAGUUUUGCAGUUUAACAUGUUCUUUGUAAACCAUCUCUGCACUGAUAAGUGUCACCGGACCCCCCCGUCUCAGUUUCCAAGGUGUUACGCUGCUAUAUUAUUGUGCUGGGGGACAUGAGGGAUGUACUACUAACUUUUCUCAGUUUCCUCCAGUUUUAAAUUUUAGAAGGAGAUGAGGUCCUGGUCCACACCUGCGGAGUACCUGGUUUGGGGGGACCGUUGCUGUUCCUGUCCUUGUCCACCUGGUCAUACUUCUGACCUAGUCUAAAAUCAAAUAUACUCUGGAUUUAGCCCAGAGAAAUUUAUUAUUCCAAUUGGACUCUUAAUCUCACCCGGCACUGCCAGAAGAGGACUGGUCACCCCUCUGAGCCUGGGUCCUCUCUAGGUUUCUUCCUAAAAUUCGACCUUCAUAGGGAGUUUUUCCUAGCCCCUGAAUUUCAACACUACUGUUGUUUGCUCCUUGGGGUUUAUGGCCGGGUGUCUCUGUAAAGCACUUUGUGACAACUGCUGUUGUAAAAAGUGCUUUAUAAAUAGAUUGAUAACAUUGAAGCAGGCGUUACGUGAACUAUAAGAGGGUGAAAGCUCUUUUUGUAACGUUCCUUGUGUUACAUUAAGUAAACCAAAGGUGUUUAAAGUGA